This 46-nucleotide ribosomal RNA is filed under the name Silene damboldtiana. RNAcentral describes it as "partial 26S ribosomal RNA". The record is from RNAcentral. Lineage: Eukaryota; Viridiplantae; Streptophyta; Magnoliopsida; Caryophyllales; Caryophyllaceae.
CCCCAGGUCAGGCGGGGCUACCCGCUGAAUUUAAGCAUAUCAAUAA